Heterocephalus glaber (naked mole-rat) is the source of this 1945-nucleotide long non-coding RNA. RefSeq lists it as uncharacterized. The record is from RefSeq and is a predicted model, not a curated record. NCBI's taxonomy places the organism in Eukaryota, Metazoa, Chordata, Mammalia, Rodentia, Bathyergidae.
UUUGUUUCUCAUUUCUGCUGCCUGUGCCAAGUAACUGAUGCCUUGCACAGCCAGAGGCUGCAGCAGGCUGGGUUCCCUGUGUGCCCAGGGUAUGGCGUGCCCCGGACAAUGUGCUCACAUCUGGAAGGGAUGAUUUCUCUGGAUUCUCCACGACCCCUGGAACCCAAGGGCUGCUGCUCUGGAUAUGGUCCCAAGACCCCACCCCUGCCGCCUGGAGCCUCCUGCCUGCGUGUGGCCAUCAGACUCUGCUUCCCUUCCGGGUCGCAGCCUGGAACCAUCCUUCUGUCUGACCAGAGCUUCCUCAGACUCAGUUUCCUCACUGGCCAAACAGGACUAAGAGAAGGGCUGCUCACAGGCAGUUAAGGAAAACCAAGGACAGAGCACUACAAGUUUGAAUGUGCUUUGCUCCACGCUGGGCAUUACAAGAUCGAAUGAGCUUUGCUCCAUGCUGGCCUCUGAGCACAGUGCCAGUCAAACGCUGCUGUGACGCUUGCCCUGCAUGAUCCCUGCCCCUAUACCAUGGACCUCCCCAGGUCAGCACCAUGUCAGCUUUCAUUCAUUUCUUCAUUCACUUACUUCACCCCAACUCUUCCCAUUCACUCAUCCCCUCCAUUCAGUAUUUCUCCUUCCUUCACGCAGCUUUGUGGUGUUCGUUGACUCUAGUCCAUGGGUUUGAUUUCAUUAUUUUAUCCAUUCAUUCUGGUUCAUUUUGCGUCAUUGUAUGCCUCCUUUUUUCCUUUUCACUCCAUUCAUUGCCCGUAUUCCACUUAUUCAGGCAUUUAUUCCAUGUCACCUUUUCACUGUGUGAAAGCCCUAUCUUCAGUUCUGCAUGCUAUGGUGUGCCAGACACUAAGGCUCAGCACUGGGUUACUGCAGGUUGCAGUCACUAACCUGGAGGGUGUGGCAGCACCUGGCUUCCACAGCCAACUGUGUGUGCAAUUCGUGUGUGUCCAUGUGUGUGCUUGCAUGCAUGUGUGCACAUUCAUUCUCAUGUGUGUACGCAUGCAUGCUGCUUUCCCAGGAUGGGGAGGAGCCGCACUGUCCUUGCCUCUUUCUCAGUUCCUGCUGUGCCAGGGGAAACCGUGUUUUACAGGGCGCAGGUCAGGUGUGGAUCCGAUUGGAGUCUUGAACUCCCUGGAGAGGGGCAAGCAUGAUUUGUCAAGGUUCCCCCAAAGCAAAGAAAGAAUUCUGCAGAGUCUUGGAAGUCAUUCUAUUGUUCUUGAGAAAUCUUUGCUUGCCAAGGCGAUUCCUUAUGACUCCAUCCUGGUACCAGGAUGAUAGAAGGCAUUGAUCUCCAUCUGGGAGCUCAGCCAGGCAGGGGACACGGGGGUGUCAUGCUCAGCCCUGCAGUGAGCAUCAUGGGGCCCCCAAGAUCCACCCCAGCUGUGGGGGGGGCACCCUAGAGAGGACGCAGAGACCCAGCCCCACUGUCCCCUCCCGACUGAAGCAGAGCCAGGGAGGAGAGGAGAAAAGAUCAUCAAAAUCCAGCUACCUCAGAGGCUGUGUUUUAUUGCCAAGCAUGACUCCAGAAAAUUAUGAAAGUUUCCGGCUGUAUCCAGAAGUGGGAAGAAACCAAGGAAGUUUCCUUAUGUGAAUAAGGAACAGUGCUGAAAGCCAGCUGCCCAGUGCCCGCUCAGCAGGGUCCUGGCCCGGUGGUGAGUGGUAGCGUCGGGUUCUCAUGGGCCCACAUGACCAUUCAGCAGCUGGGUGACCUUAAGCCCAUCAGGUAACUCAUCCAAGCCUUAGUCCAGCCAUCUGGGGAAUGGGUCAGGAACAGUCCCUGCUUCAUAGAUUCUCAUGAACCUCAAGUAAGAAUGUGAAUAACUUGACUCGCUCACAGUAAGACAGUAUAAGCAUUAUUGCUGUCAUUUUAAAAACCUGAGACUGGGCCAGGGAUUUAGUUCAGUGGUUCCGCCGCCUGCCUUGCAAGUGGAAGGUCCCGAGU